RNAcentral lists this non-coding RNA (51 nucleotides) under unclassified sequences. Its description in RNAcentral is "RAGATH-25 RNA". It matches the Rfam family "RAGATH-25 RNA". From Rfam's summary of the family: Firmicutes. Nearby to self-cleaving ribozyme genes The record is from Rfam by way of RNAcentral.
GGCAACACGAACGGUCGUUCGGUCAAUGAGUAAGUCCCCCAUUUCAGGGGA